Molecule: ribosomal RNA, 392 nt
Filed under: uncultured bacterium
Lineage: Bacteria
Description: bacterial SSU rRNA
Rfam family: Bacterial small subunit ribosomal RNA
Source: RNAcentral
AUUGAACGCUGGCGGCAUGCCUUACACAUGCAAGUCGAACGGCAGCACGGGAGCUUGCUCCUGGUGGCGAGUGGCGAACGGGUGAGUAAAGCAUCGGAACGUAUCCGGAAGUGGGGGAUAACGUAGCGAAAGUUACGCUAAUACCGCAUAUUCUGUGAGCAGGAAAGAGGGGGAUCGCAAGACCUCUCGCUUUCGGAGCGGCCGAUGUCGGAUUAGCUAGUUGGUGGGGUAAAGGCUCACCAAGGCAACGAUCCGUAGCGGGUCUGAGAGGAUGAUCCGCCACACUGGAACUGAGACACGGUCCAGACUCCUACGGGAGGCAGCAGUGGGGGAAUUUUUGGACAAUGGGCGCAAGCCUGAUCCAGCCAUGCCGCGUGAGUGAAGAAGGCCUU